This 1554-nucleotide ribosomal RNA is filed under the name Salmonella enterica subsp. enterica serovar Bareilly. Its description in RNAcentral is "bacterial SSU rRNA". It matches the Rfam family "Bacterial small subunit ribosomal RNA". Lineage: Bacteria; Pseudomonadati; Pseudomonadota; Gammaproteobacteria; Enterobacterales; Enterobacteriaceae. The record is from RNAcentral.
UUAAAUUGAAGAGUUUGAUCAUGGCUCAGAUUGAACGCUGGCGGCAGGCCUAACACAUGCAAGUCGAACGGUAACAGGAAGCAGCUUGCUGCUUCGCUGACGAGUGGCGGACGGGUGAGUAAUGUCUGGGAAACUGCCUGAUGGAGGGGGAUAACUACUGGAAACGGUGGCUAAUACCGCAUAACGUCGCAAGACCAAAGAGGGGGACCUUCGGGCCUCUUGCCAUCAGAUGUGCCCAGAUGGGAUUAGCUAGUUGGUGAGGUAACGGCUCACCAAGGCGACGAUCCCUAGCUGGUCUGAGAGGAUGACCAGCCACACUGGAACUGAGACACGGUCCAGACUCCUACGGGAGGCAGCAGUGGGGAAUAUUGCACAAUGGGCGCAAGCCUGAUGCAGCCAUGCCGCGUGUAUGAAGAAGGCCUUCGGGUUGUAAAGUACUUUCAGCGGGGAGGAAGGUGUUGUGGUUAAUAACCACAGCAAUUGACGUUACCCGCAGAAGAAGCACCGGCUAACUCCGUGCCAGCAGCCGCGGUAAUACGGAGGGUGCAAGCGUUAAUCGGAAUUACUGGGCGUAAAGCGCACGCAGGCGGUCUGUCAAGUCGGAUGUGAAAUCCCCGGGCUCAACCUGGGAACUGCAUUCGAAACUGGCAGGCUUGAGUCUUGUAGAGGGGGGUAGAAUUCCAGGUGUAGCGGUGAAAUGCGUAGAGAUCUGGAGGAAUACCGGUGGCGAAGGCGGCCCCCUGGACAAAGACUGACGCUCAGGUGCGAAAGCGUGGGGAGCAAACAGGAUUAGAUACCCUGGUAGUCCACGCCGUAAACGAUGUCUACUUGGAGGUUGUGCCCUUGAGGCGUGGCUUCCGGAGCUAACGCGUUAAGUAGACCGCCUGGGGAGUACGGCCGCAAGGUUAAAACUCAAAUGAAUUGACGGGGGCCCGCACAAGCGGUGGAGCAUGUGGUUUAAUUCGAUGCAACGCGAAGAACCUUACCUGGUCUUGACAUCCACAGAAGAAUCCAGAGAUGGAUUUGUGCCUUCGGGAACUGUGAGACAGGUGCUGCAUGGCUGUCGUCAGCUCGUGUUGUGAAAUGUUGGGUUAAGUCCCGCAACGAGCGCAACCCUUAUCCUUUGUUGCCAGCGGUCCGGCCGGGAACUCAAAGGAGACUGCCAGUGAUAAACUGGAGGAAGGUGGGGAUGACGUCAAGUCAUCAUGGCCCUUACGACCAGGGCUACACACGUGCUACAAUGGCGCAUACAAAGAGAAGCGACCUCGCGAGAGCAAGCGGACCUCAUAAAGUGCGUCGUAGUCCGGAUUGGAGUCUGCAACUCGACUCCAUGAAGUCGGAAUCGCUAGUAAUCGUGGAUCAGAAUGCCACGGUGAAUACGUUCCCGGGCCUUGUACACACCGCCCGUCACACCAUGGGAGUGGGUUGCAAAAGAAGUAGGUAGCUUAACCUUCGGGAGGGCGCUUACCACUUUGUGAUUCAUGACUGGGGUGAAGUCGUAACAAGGUAACCGUAGGGGAACCUGCGGUUGGAUCACCUCCUUACCUGAAAGAA